This 493-nucleotide ribosomal RNA is filed under the name uncultured bacterium. Its description in RNAcentral is "partial 16S ribosomal RNA". It matches the Rfam family "Bacterial small subunit ribosomal RNA", at positions 30 to 523 of the family's 1533-position model. The record is from RNAcentral.
AUUGAACGCUGGCGGCCUGCCUUACACAUGCAAGUCAAACGGUAACAGGUUAAGCUGACGAGUGGCGAACGGGUGAGUAAUGUAUCGGAACGUGCCCAGUCGUGGGGGAUAACGUAGCGAAAGCUACGCUAAUACCGCAUACGAUCUACGGAUGAAAGCGGGGGAUCGCAAGACCUCGCGCGAUUGGAGCGGCCGAUAUCAGAUUAGGUUGUUGGUGAGGUAAAAGCUCACCAAGCCUGCGAUCUGUAGCUGGUCUGAGAGGACGACUAGCCAAACUGGAACUGAGACACGGUCCAGACUCCUACGGGAGGCAGCAGUGGGGAAUUUUGGACAAUGGACGCAAGUCUGAUCCAGCAAUGCCGCGUGCAGGACGAAGGACUUCGGGUUGUAAACUGCUUUUGUACGGAACGAAACGGUGAGCUCUAAUACAGUUUGCUAAUGACGGUACCGUAAGAAUAAGCACCGGCUAACUACGUGCCAGCAGCCGCGGUAA